This 498-nucleotide ribosomal RNA is filed under the name uncultured bacterium. Its description in RNAcentral is "partial 16S ribosomal RNA". It matches the Rfam family "Bacterial small subunit ribosomal RNA", at positions 28 to 507 of the family's 1533-position model. The record is from RNAcentral.
GACGAACGCUGGCGGCGUGCCUAAUACAUGCAAGUCGAGCGGACGGAUGGGAGCUUGCUCCCAGACCGUCAGCGGCGGACGGGUGAGUAACACGUGGGCAACCUGCCUGUAAGACUGGGAUAACUCCGGGAAACCGGGGCUAAUACCGGAUAACUCUUUCCCUCACAUGAGGGAAAGCUGAAAGAUGGCAUCUCGCUAUCACUUACAGAUGGGCCCGCGGCGCAUUAGCUAGUUGGUGAGGUAACGGCUCACCAAGGCGACGAUGCGUAGCCGACCUGAGGGGGUGAUCGGCCACACUGGGACUGAGACACGGCCCAGACUCCUACGGGAGGCAGCAGUAGGGAAUCUUCCGCAAUGGACGAAAGUCUGACGGAGCAACGCCGCGUGAGUGAUGAGGGUUUUCGGAUCGUAAAACUCUGUUGUCAGGGAAGAACAAGUACCGGAGUAACUGCCGGUACCUUGACGGUACCUGACCAGAAAGCCACGGCUAACUACGUG